Molecule: long non-coding RNA, 5768 nt
Filed under: Pomacea canaliculata
Lineage: Eukaryota; Metazoa; Mollusca; Gastropoda; Architaenioglossa; Ampullariidae
Description: uncharacterized LOC112560731, transcript variant X1
Source: RNAcentral
AAUGCGACUCAUCGUGACUUUUACAGACCAGCGACACUUGGUGUACAUCGCAAAGCUCGGCAUCUUCAGGACCAAUGCUGUGGACCGAUGCAGAUGCCAGCACUCUGUCCCAAGACACACGGAAGUGUCACCAAGAAAAGACACAUGGACGUGUCACAGAUCAAACACACCAGGAAGUGUCACCACUAAAACCGAAACUCAUGGAAGUGUCACCAACAAGACACACCAACGUGUCACCUGCCGGGAGACAACAGGCCCAACGUACACCCCCCUACCCCCCACGACACCCAACAUGGCGCCUGAAGUCCUCGUGGGUUGGCGGAGCGGCUGCUGUUGGUGCUGCUGUUGCCGUAGCCACCCCUGCAAACGCGACGGCACCGUGGCUGCCAUGGGAGGGGGAAAAGCGGAGGAAACAAACCCGAGACCAGGUAAUAAUGACCACCCGUACUCCCGUACAGACAGGCAGUACGCCAAGCGCGCAAUGCUACUGGCGGGCUCACCGCAGGCCGACCUCAGCUGCCGCAACAGUCGUGCUGCCUCUACACCCACUGAUCAUAUCCCCACCCAUCCGCCCACUCAACCAUCUCUCUCUCACUCUCUCUCUCUCGCUCGCUCGCUCUCUCAGCUCGUCCUUCAUAAGGCUAAAGUUAUUAAAACCCCGAAAAAGCUAAGGCUCUGUUAAAGAAGAGGGUUAUGGACUAGCAAUGCCUUCUCCAGUCGAGAGGUUUUGCCUCUGGGUUUUGAACGCCACCUGCCUUACCAAGAUUCCCGGUUGAAAGAACAAGAUUUUUCGAGAAAGCUAUGCGGACAGUGUGUGCGCGCCACUGGUGCCUGUUGUUUGCCGCAUCUGUGCUGAUGUCCAGCGUGUCCGGCCUCAAGUUGUCGCCCCUGACCAGCGCCGCCCACCGCCGCGCGUCACGCCGUCCUCUGUCAGUAGAACAGCCACAGGAAGUGGCCAAGCGACCCAACCGAGCCUUCGGCUCCUUCUACCGCCUGAUGCAGCGGCACUCGCGCUACCUGGACGAGCAGGCCUUUGCCGAGAAGAUGUUCCGUCUCUUCGACAUGAACGCUGACAACUUAAUCCAGAGAGAUGAGUUCCUCGCCAUACUUCAGCUGCUCGGGCUCAUCAGCCACUCCUAGUGCUGCCCUCUAGUCCCCCAGGUAGCCCUGAAGCCGUGAGGACAACGCCAGCAAGUCUCCAGUGCCAGCCACAGCCUGCAGACCAUCGACUCGCUUCCUUCUGUCGGCCAGUCCGCCCAGCGUCCUCGUCUGCUUUUGGAAGUCACUGCACAGCACCCGGCCGGCAGACAACCCCAGGUCACACACACAACCACGGGCCUCUUCAUCGGCUUCGCUCCCCUUCUACGAAACCUCAUAUCGCUUGUCUGCCCCUUGGUCCCAAGGAUGAGCCUGCUGUCUGGACGGAAAGUUGUCACAGACGAUUUCAUUCCGUGGCCACCGACCUGCGCAGUCGGGUGGAUCUCACAGUCACGACGGUCACGAGUUGUGAAAAGCACGUGACAUGACAACUGUUAUCUGGUGGCAGUAAGGCUUCGGGAUACACCUUAUCUACUGGAACGCGAUCACUGGCUUCUAGCUUCUACCUCCACAGCAGUCACAUGACCAUACCUAUCGUAUUCAGAUGUUUACACCCUGAACACUCGAACCGUGAUGUGCGUAUUGUUGCUUCUUCUUGCUGAGUUUAUUAUUUGACAGGGUUAACCUCCAUUAAGAGUCACGUGUUAUCGAAUAUGCUCAAAUUUGUUUUCAACCUGAUGUCGGUGACUGUUUGACUAGUUCUUAAUCUUGUUAUGCACUAUUCUGUCUCCGUGAGAGACCUUACUUGUAACCGAGGGUUACCACCACGUUAAAGCUCCUUGCUCUGGUGAGGUCUUCUGGUCGCGCCUUGCAAGUCAUCUGCCAGCAUAACGGCCUGCGAAACAGUAGCCAGGGUUCGGCCACCAAGACAAAGGCCACUCUUUGAUCGUACUAUGGCUUCUUCGAUGUAGCAUCCAUCUGACUAACGCAUUACUCUGUCUAAAAUUACCGACAUUUGACAAAUUAUUAACCACUAACAGCUUCACAAACCUUAGCCAGCCUUCGUAUCCCGACACUCUCUUAGACUAUUAACCUUCACCAGCAUGACAACCUUUGUCUUAUUUCACCCACAAAAUGUCUCACCAUUGUCAUCUAUCACUCCUGUCUGCAUGUGUGUCCUUCAGCACAAUCUGCAAGACCAUUAACCUUUUAAGAACCCCACAGACUGUGUCUUCUGCCAUUUCUAAUUGCCGGCCCAUGAACUCCUAACAACCUGUUUCUUCUGUCGCUGCACUCUUCCACCCCAUUAGCUUCUAAGUGGGUUGUAGCCUCGGUGUUGUAUGUCCAGAACCCGGCACAUCAUCAAUGUCUACAUCCACUGUCUUCUGUGAACACAAUUGCCCGCAUCAUCUCUAAGAUGGCCACAUCCUUUUGUCUUGUACUUCUACAAUCUGCAAGACCAUUGAUCUCAAAUAACUUCACAAUCUUUAUAUAGUCGUUUUUCUUCGUUUUCUUUCUUUCUUCGUCCUAUCAAUGCUCCUUGUGAGGCUCAUACUUUUAUGUGUUAAACCUGUUGCCAAUCUUCUUCAAGCUGUCCUCAUCCAGUCAACUCGAUGUAAUAGUUGUUUCCCUGUUUUGUGUCCAGCUCGCCAUGACUGUAGUCUCCGUGCUCUGAGAGCGCCACAAACAACCAUAGCCAACAGUAAACAAAGAUUCAUAACAAUUAAACAAUAGGAAUCAUACUAUGCUCAACCACUUUCUUUACAAAGGAAUCUCAUACCCCUGGCGAAUUUCUAUAGUUAUUUAGAAUCUGUGAAGUCAGCAAUACAGUCCACAAUGUCCACCAGCAACUCGUUGUCCCCUUUGUAGACAGCAAAGAAAAUCUUUGCAACUUUUCUUUCUGGAAGAUUAGUCGUCAAGAACGGAAUGAAAACUUUUCUUGGACCCACAUAUAGCUACAUGUUUAGAAAGAUGCGAGAAAGUUCGAUUACAAACAGAUCUUACAAACAACAAGGAGCUCAAUGCCUAAAGAAGGGUUUGUUAGACUUUGAACUGAGGGACAAGAUGUCUGCUGGUAGUGAGAAAGUCCGGUGGCAUAACUUAGAUAUUUCUACUUGGUGUCUACAGUCCACUGGUCAGUCUUGCUGGCUCACCAACUCUUAUCCUAGCAGGGUAAACCAAUACUUUUCUUUAUAGACUCUUUCUGAGUCAAGUGAACUUGUUCACUUGAAUAAUGUUUGUGGUCCAAUUAGCGGUUUUUCUUAAAUGUUCAAAGGUGUUGUGUUCCUUCUGCUUUAACAUUAAAACCUUCUGCUUUAAAACCCGUUUAAUAUUAACUGUUACCUGUCAUCCCCUCGGUCCAUCUAACAAUAGAAUCCCGCACCUUGCCACUCUGGUGAUAUAUCUUGUUUCCUGUCGAGAUUUUCAAUAUUUUCAGUGAUGAAUGUUUAGGUGUUGGAAUUUACUGCUACUCACUGAGCAUGACUACCCUUCACACCCCUUGUUCCUUUAAGUUAAGAAGAUUAAAAAAAUACAUGCCGACAUGUUAUCAUCUGACACCUACCUUCAAAGGUCGACAACUCAUAAACUGUUUAUUUGUACACCUGUAGACAGUGCACAAAGAUCAUGUGGCCUCUGUGGUCUAAGGUGUGAUGAUUCUGAUAUCUAGCGACUCAACUCUGUCUGGUAUCUGAAAGAAGAUCUUCUGUCUGCUGUCUGGUUUCUGAGCACGUGAUGUUUUGUUUCUCUUUUUUUCAGACUUGUCGCUCUUUGCCUCGGUGUUGCAAAGCAAGCUUUGAGGAAUUUCUUUGUGUUUUGUCUUUCUUCCAGUCUUUUAUUUCUCAGUUAUUACAUUUUCAUGUCAUGCGCAUCUGGCCUGUGUGCCUUCCUGCUUUGAAUAUGAGGCUACUGCUGCUGCUGCUGCUGCUCAGCGAGUCAAAGCGAACGUUUGUGGAAUGUCCACGUGGACUUGUUAUUGCCGUGCUCCCCCACAGCUCCAGUCGGACAAGAGCCCGGAGUCCCUUACACUUCCCUUCACAAACACCUUGUGUUACUCCCCCGUCGCCUGUUACGUCGCAUUGUGUUACACUCACGGCUGUCAGCUUACGUCACGUGACGUGACAUUACGCUCGUGCGGGUGGUAAUGGCGGACAUUACAGUAGGAGCUAUCCUCGCGGCUGAUGUAAGCUUCUCCUGGUUUUCCUCCAAAGUAACGACUCAUCGCUGCUGUUCUCUACUCCAGUUAUCUACCACUUCCCUUGUCCCGCUCCUGUUGUCAGCCCGAGGCAAACAAAAAAGGCAACAAAGGGGGGCAAAACUCUGCCGAAAUCGCUGUGAGUCGCAUGCAGGAUCAUUCAAUGGUUACCAUGGUAACUGCUGCUCCCAACCCUUCAGUUGCUACGUGAACUGUAGUGUUGGCAAAGUGUACAUACCUACCUGUACUGAACACAACAAAGCUACACCUCUCUGACACAGACACCAGCAGACUGACGGUGUCGAUGUUGUGCUGCAGUAGAGGCGCUCGUGUACUGUAGCCUUUAGCCCCCAACGACAACAUUCCUUGCCGUUACAACAUUCCAUUAUGUCACCGUUAAGAUGGUUGUAGCUGUCAAAAAAAAAAAAAACAACAACACACGCUAUCCCAUGUUUUUUGUCCGAACGGAUAGUGUUGUCUUGAAGACACUGUGUCUUGUUCCCAGGCGAGUAGCGCUGUCUGUGAGAGACUACUUGAGACUAGUUACUUGACUACUUGAGACUAGUUACUUGACUACUUGAGACUAGUUACUUGACUACUUGAAGCUAGUUACUUGACUACUUGAGGCUAGUUACUUGACUACUUGAAGCUAGUUACUUGACUACUUGAGGCUAGUUACUUGACUACUUGAGACUAGUUACUUGACUACUUGAGACUAGUUACUUGACUACUUGAGACUAGUUACUUGACUACUUGAGACUAGUUACUUGACUACUUGAGACUAGUUACUUGACUACUUGAGGCUAGUCCACUGGUAGUGCCGUCUAUAAAGUGCUGCUUUCUCUUUCCAAGGCGAGUAGUGUUUCCUGCUCUUUCCUUCCAACAUGAAUAGCAUCCUGCUAUCUCGUUCUAGGGUGUCUAGUGCAACCUACAGGGGAUAGUCUCUCCUUCCAAGGCUAGCAGUACCGCCUCUAAUAUAGUGCUAUCUGGUACAAAGGCGACUAGUGCUAUGUACAAGGUAGUGCUACCUCAAGGCAACUAGUGCUAUCUAGAGGGUAGUGCUAUCUCAAGGCGACUAGUAGUAGAAGGUAGUGCUGUGUACAAGGUAGUGCUAUCUCCAGGCGACUAGUGCUAUCUUAAGGCGACUAGCGCUAUCUCAAGGCAACUAGUGCUAAGUACAAGGUAGUGCUAUCUCCAGGCGACUAGUGCUAUCUCCAGGCGAAUAGUGCUGCCUGAAGGGCGAUGCUCUCUCCUAGGAAGGCGAGUGUUGUCGCUGCAGGAGAUGGUGUCUACAAGACGCAGCUAUCAUCGUCCGAGGCGACGACUGUUUUCCAGAUGACGUCACAAGUGGAUGUGCAUGUAACGUUCAAUGACCGAGUAUGUUAUUGAUGAAUUAUUAUCUCUGCUUCGUAGAGAACAAAGUUUGCGAAGUUGUGUUAACCUUACAGAUGCAGAAGUACUGAAAACGACUGUGAAUACUGUACAAAUUCAAAUAAACUUAUUUUAUUCGGACAGCCUUGCUGAUAAAUAAAUGUAA